ACGUGAUAAUGACUGGACAUGUCCCAAGUGUGGCAAUGUCAACUUUUCGUUUAGAACAGUUUGUAACAUGAGGAAGUGCAACACUCCAAAGCCUGGUUCUCAGGUUCCCAAACCGGUGAAGAACACUAAACCAGAUACGCCAGAUGGAAGCUGGAAAUGUGAGAAGUGCAACAACAUAAACUAUCCUUUUCGGACCAAGUGUAACAGACAGAAUUGUGGUGCGGAGAAACCAUCUGAAGCCAAGAAGUCUCCUUCACAAUCAGCUGAUGAGAAUGAUCAGUGAGUACUA
This 289-nucleotide unclassified non-coding RNA is filed under the name Hevea brasiliensis (rubber tree). Lineage: Eukaryota; Viridiplantae; Streptophyta; Magnoliopsida; Malpighiales; Euphorbiaceae. The record is from RNAcentral.